ACACGUGCUCCGGGGUCGGUGAAAGUCCGAGCCGGCGGUGACAGUCCGCGACCCGCGAGGUUCCGCAAGGGACCGGACGGUGGACCUGGUGGAACUCCGGGACCGACGGUGAAAGUCCGGAUGGGAGGAGUCGUGG
This 136-nucleotide non-coding RNA is filed under the name Cellulomonas sp. Its description in RNAcentral is "FMN sequence". It matches the Rfam family "FMN riboswitch aptamer (RFN element)". Rfam says of the family: The RFN element is a highly conserved domain that is found frequently in the 5'-untranslated regions of prokaryotic mRNAs that encode for flavin mononucleotide (FMN) biosynthesis and transport proteins. This element is a metabolite-dependent riboswitch that directly binds FMN in the absence of proteins. The record is from RNAcentral. Lineage: Bacteria; Bacillati; Actinomycetota; Actinomycetes; Micrococcales; Cellulomonadaceae.